GCUGGAACAUUCCAUAAUCCAAAUGGUGCGACCCGAGCCGUCCAUCGCCUGACGAUUCGUCGUCUAUCCUGGCCGUCGCAUCGAACAAUGGAUGGAAAGCACUAUAGCUUGUCCGCUUUGCUUGACUGGAUAUCGACAUUCUUGGCGCAUUCUAUCCGAGACUAGGGCAUGACUUGUUGAUGCGAUCGAUCACCCGGCGCUUCUCCGGACAGGACGAUCCCGCACUAGCGCUGGUCCAGGGCUUGAAAUCUUGCGGCUGCGCGCAAGAUUUGGAGGCGCUACACGCCGGCAUUCUUGGAUCCGAGCAUUGCCACGACAGGUUUGUGUGCAAUCACUUGAUCGAGGCGUAUGGCCGCUGCGGGCUACCCGGAAGAGCGCGCGAGGUCUUGGAUGGGAUUCGCAAUGCGAAUCUCCACUCGUGGAACAUCAUGGUCCAGGCAUAUGCACAGAACGGGCUUGUGGAGGAGGCCAGAUCGCUGUUUGGAUCGAUGCCGCGGCGGGAUUUCAUCUCCUGGGGAAGCGUGAUGAACGCUCACGCGCAGGCUGGGGAUUUUGGAUCGUGCCUGGAGGUCUUUCGCAGGUGCCCACAGCUGGAUGUGGUCGCGUGUAGCUCGAUGCUCGCAGCGUAUGCCCAGGCAGGGCAUCUGGAAGAAGCAAAGGCAUUGUUUGAGAGGAUGGAAUCCAGGAAUGCGGUGUCUUGGGCGGCUCUGAUAGCUGCUCACGAUCAACAGAAGAACUGCGAGCACGCAGAGAUAAUUCUAAUCCUGAUGCCGGAGCAUAGCUUUCCGGCCUGGAACAGUGCUAUGACCGUCUAUGCCCAUGCCGGGCAUCUCUCCAAGGCCAAGAGUUUGUUCGACGAGAUGCCCGAGAGGAACUUGAUCAUCUGGACGCUGCUGCUUGGCUGCUAUGCUCGAAACGGUGAAGUUGGACUGGCCAGAGGCGCUCACGCGAGGAUGCCAGAGUGGGACGUGGUUUCCAACGAUGCAAUGCUCACGGCACUGGUCUUGGCUGGAAGCUCGUAUCUAGCGGAGGCCAAGGAGAUGUUCGUGAGAUUGGAGGAGCGGAGCUUGGUGUCGUGGAACGUCAUGGUUUCAGCGGUUUCACAGAGCGAUCAAGUGGAUGCUGCGAGAACGAUGUUUGAUAGAAUGCCACAGUGGGUCGUUUCUUCGUGGAACAUCAUGGUUUCAGGCUACACUCACGCUGGUCGCCUGGAUGAAGCAGUGUCUAUGUUCCAGAGCAUGCCGGGGCGAGACCAGCUCUCCUGGAACGCCAUAGUCACGGCAUUUACUCAGCUCGACUGCUCGAAAGAGUUUCUUACGCUCUUCCAUCUAAUGCCGGUGUGGAACCUGGUGACUUUCACUUGUGCUAUGGGAGUAUAUGCGCUGAAGGGUGACACCGAAACGGCCCUGAGCAUAUUUGUCAACAUGCCACAGCAAGAUUCGACUUCGUGGACUGCCAUCAUCGGAGGCUUUGCUCAGAACGGGCAGUUUGAUAAAGCUCUGGAGCUUCUGUCUCUCAUGAGCUCCGAAGGCGUCGAGGCAGACGAGGUGACGUUCAUAGGUGUUCUUCUGGCAUGCAGUCACCGGGGAUUGAUCGAACAAACUUGCAAGCAGUUCCAGUCCAUGAUUGUGGACUAUGGAGUGCGGCCGAUGUUACGGCACUAUCACUGUGUGAUUGACGGAUUUGCUCGAGCAGGCCGGAUAGAAGUCGCUGAAGAACUUCUUGAGUCGAUGCCUUUCAUGCCGAGUGAAGCAGCAUGGAUGAGUUUACUGGGUGCAUGCAACGUACAAGGGGAUGAGAAACGAGUUCUAAGUAAAGGUUUACUGUCAAGCAAUUACGUUGGUGAUCACGACUAUGAGGUGUAGCGAUGGAAGCAAAAGCAGGUGGAGUUUCUAAGUUCUCAGGCCAUUUUUCUAGUAGCCUUCGAGCCUUUACUGCGUGAAACUGGAGCGAUAACUGAGACGUUGGCUG
RNA transcript from Selaginella moellendorffii, 1971 nucleotides. It is a transcript of the gene named pentatricopeptide repeat-containing protein At4g02750-like, with no coding region annotated. NCBI's taxonomy places the organism in Eukaryota, Viridiplantae, Streptophyta, Lycopodiopsida, Selaginellales, Selaginellaceae. The transcript is spliced from 3 exons. The record is from RefSeq and is a predicted model, not a curated record.